This is a long non-coding RNA of Lagopus muta (rock ptarmigan), 10252 nucleotides long. RefSeq lists it as uncharacterized. The transcript is spliced from 12 exons. Lineage: Eukaryota; Metazoa; Chordata; Aves; Galliformes; Phasianidae. The record is from RefSeq and is a predicted model, not a curated record.
GUAACGUUGUUUCUUAUGAAGAAGACAGCAUGUCAGAAACGCCAAUACCUGAAGGGUUUACUCACUAUAUAGAAAAAAAUCCUUAUUGGAGUUUGUAUUGCAGUUUGUAUUUGUAGUUCUUGACUUAGUAAGAAUACAUCUAGGUUGUUAGCUAGUGGAGGCUACUGAAUGUAUAUUUGUUAAACUUUCAUGUGUGUGUAUGCACGUGCAUGGGAAUGGCUAAGGCAUGGCCUGACCUAACGAGUGAGCACCUGGUGAUGGGCACAGCCAGCCCUGGGAGCACAGGUGAAAGUAAUUCACUGUUGUGACUCAAAGAGGGGUGGAACCUGGAUCCACCCUUCUCUAAGCCUCAUUUAAGGACUUACUGAGAGGAGGGAGGGUUUUCUACUUGGAGAUUUUGCCUUUUGGAGUAUUUUGUGGGCUCUCAUGUUUGCGCUAGAAAAAUCAACUCCUUAAUCUGGCCCAGGUCUGCGUGAGCACUUAAUGGUAGUACUGAGAAGAAAGAACAAGAAGAUGAGCGAGGCAGGACUGCAUCUUUAAUGAAUAAAUGAUCUCAUGUAAUAACAAACCUGACAGAUCUUCAUAAUUGAUCGCUAUUCUUCACAGAUGAAGGGCAUAGGAAGCAAACAGAAUAAAGCAGUGUAUGCUGCAUAUGCAAUGUGGACAUGUGAGUUCCAGUGCUCUGAGGACACAUUGCAUCAGAAUGGCUUUUCCUGCAAAAUGGGUCAUAGCUGUAUCCAGGGAAACCAUCAAUGGAAGUUCCUCUUAUCUUUCUUUAUGGAAGGAAAAUCUAUCUGUUUCUGUGCUAAAAUGCUGCUUCUGCAUGAGCCCUGCAGGAAUCCUGGCUGCCACUACAGUUUUCUGCAGUGCCCGAGGAUACAACUACAUCAAAGCACAUAUUUAAUUCCCAUGUUACUUCAACAGCAAGAUAUGUGCGCAGAUUGACCUGAAGAAAAAAAGACUGCCAUGGGGGAAAGUGACAUCCAUACAUGCAAAUGUAGCAGGAAAAACAGACUCUAAGGAAUGAUCCUGACUGUCUCAUAAGACUUAUUUUUUGGACUUUACAUCAGAUGCAUCCUUCAAAUGGUAACAUCUAGUCUUACCAAGUCGUCAUCAAGAAGAAAGGAGAAGUGCCAUGCAGCAGUCUGGACACUCAGUCACAGACCAUUCUCCAUUUCUUUCCAUUUCUUUCAGUUUGUUUGCAGAAAAGCUGAGAGAAGAUUGGAAGGCAACAGUCUACCCACUCAUUAUGUGCAAUGAAAUGUUUGCUCAGCUUUGGGCUAAAGAAACUUUCAGACAAGAAUACAUCUUCGUAAGAUUCCUAAAUAUCAGGGGCCUAACAAUAAGGAUCUCUAAGAACCAGACCCUGCAUAAGAAAUGCAAUAUUGACAGUGAGGGAUACACCAUGCAGAGAAGUAUUUUUGGGACUUCUACUUCUUGCCUUAAAAACAACAAAAAACCCUACAUUCGGAGAUAGUAAGGAAACCCUUGCUCUCAACCAGAAGAGUCUUGUGGCUAUCAUUUCUCUAUUUGCAUUGAAAACUCAGCUUUUCCUGUGAUGUUAGGAUUUUGGCAGCUAUUCCUUUCAGAACUCUACGUAUCAUGAAUGAGACUGGCAGACAAGCCUGAAGACACCCUGUUGAAGUUGCAGCCAAGACACUGAACACACUCAGCACACCGCUAGCUGACAGCAGACACUUCACUCUGCUCAGUGACUUACACUGACCGCACCAAAGAUCCACAGGGAAUACUCUAGACAGUGACAGUUUGCUACCCAUGCCUACUUUUCCCCAGUGAAGAUCUUCCAGAUAAAAGCUCUGGCCUGGCAGAGCUGAUGCAAAUGCAUUUGAGGGGGCAGAAGAUCUGAGCCUGUCUGACCCACGAUAAUUUGCAUUCAAACAAAAUAAAUCCAGUUCAAUUCCCAUAGCAAUUUUAUUUUGCUAUGAAUAGCUCAGGCAGCUCCAAUAGCGAGGAGCUCGGGUUACAUCUGAUUGCCAGCUGUAUUGCUUACUAAGAAGUUAGGUCAGUGGUUCCCAACCUUUUAAUUUUCCUUGUUGGAGUAUACAUUGCUAUGGAUUAGUUACAUGAGAGAGUGGUCACAAGGAACUCUGUAGGGAAUAAAGUAUCAGCUUUGCUGAUAUUCCACAUACACAGACAUACAUAUGUUGAAAUAUCUACGUGGGAAGGAGAAAAGGAGUGGAAUAAAAGAUCUUAGGCCAUUAAGGGAAUGGAAAACAAGAAGCAAAGAUGGCCCAAGGGUGAGAACGUCAAGCUGAUGCCUGCGUUAUCUGGAUUCAGCUCCCAGUUCUUUGUCAUACAGCUUCUCUGUUCCUUAUUUCUCAGUUUGAAAGGCAGGAUAGUAUAUUCUAUAUUGUAAAUGCUCAAAAAAAUUGCAAAGACACACAUUUGACCAGUCAGAUGAUUCUAUGUCCCUCACUAUAGAAGCUCAUGGCCUUUCUCCUGCUGCAGCCCCAGCCUUCAGGGUGCCACUCAGCAGCUUGAGCACACAAACCCAUAGUAGCUAGGUACUUGCCACUUAGCAGGACUCUGCACUGGUAAGUGCCCUGCCCGAAGACGUGCUGCUCAAAUACAGCUCUGACCACCAUCUGUGUCUCAUCACAUCACUGGGUAGACUUCUGCCAUGUGGUCCCCAUCACAAGAACCUGAGUGCUAAUACAUUAUGUGACCCAGAAAAGUGGUCACAUCCACUGGAGUCUGAGAAGGUUUGAUAGGGUCGCUCCUAACAAGAAAUUCCCUUACUGUAAUUCUGGCUGCUUUACACAUGGCUAUACAUAAUGUGAUUAUUUAGCAUUGACAAGAAAGGAGGAGUGGGAAAGAAUAAACUUAGCCUCUGCUUUUGCUUGUAAUCACAUUUUCAAAGCAGGCCAGUAGCCUGAAUCACACUGUCUUAGUUUCAGCUGGGAUGGAAUUGUUUUCGUCAAGAGUGGUAUGAUGCUAUGUUUUUGGUUCCAGGAGAAAAACAAUGCUGAUUACACACUGAUGUUUAUAGUUGCUGCUAAGCACUGUUGUACAGAGCCAAGGCCAUUCUCAUUGAAGGCCCAAAGGAGCUGAGAGGGAACAGAAUCAAGAUAGCUGAUUUAAAUUGGAUAAAGAGGUAUUCCAUAUCAUAUGACAACAUGUAGAAGAAGUUUGGAAGGGAGUGGGAGUUCACCUCCCUCUCUCUUCUGCUGCUCAGGGUGCUAGCUGGGCAUUGGUUGGGGGUGGCAACCAUAAGCAAUUGCUUUUGCAUCACUUGUUAUACGCAUUUAUAUAUAUGAAGUCAUAAUCAUUAUCCUUUUCCUUUUCUUUAUCUUAGUAAAUAGUUUUAUCUCAACCCACAAGUUCUACUUUGUUUCUGAUUUUCUUCCCCAUCCCACUGGGAAGGGAGGAGUGAGCAAAUGUGUAUGUGAUGCUUAGUCACCUGCUAGGUUAAACCAUAAUGCAUUUUCUUUCUAAGAAAUGACAAAUCAGUAAAACUUCAAAGGCAGUUCAUACUAUUAACUUGAAACAGGGCAGCAGCAUAUCACCAAAUUAAAUUUAGGCCUCACCGUUUUCUCAGUUGGUCACAACACAAGAAACCUUUCCAGGACAACUCCAUGUAGAAGUCAGAUACACAGUAAGCCCUACAGACAUCCUUAGUCUGCAGGUCUUAGUUUAGAGCGGACAUUUGAUUAAGAAGUGAGUUAUUUGCUAAGCCAAAUAUAGUAACUGCCAUCUAUAGUCCAUGUCAUGAAAUAUGCCCACAUAUUUCUGGGCACAGCUUACAACCUGCCUUCACAUUAUAUUGUCAAGUAUACCAUGGGUCCAAAAAUUUGAUUCCUUAAUUGUAGGCAAAUGCAACAAGCUAGCAAACAGUGGAGCCCACAUGUACUGCCUCAUUCCUGUUCUGCUUCAGAACUGUGCACUCUCUCCCACAAAUUAUGCUAUUUUUUAGUAUAAGAGAACGAUGCACAAAGGUGAGCAUGCCAAUUCUUUUGCUGGUUUUACUAGUGAAAUUAAAAGCAGAAAACCUGGGUGAAUUUGUCCCCUUUAGAAAAGCAUUUGAUACUCUUAUAAAUGAAAGUUUGGUGAGAAAUUAUUUUCAGUAAAAUUUUCUAAUUGCAGUAAUUUCUGUAAUAGAAGCAAGUUUAAUCUUGUGCAAAAAUCACUACAAUAUGUUCUGGUGAGGUACGAAAUAUGACACGGUGUCAAGACAGUCCUCCUAAAAUUGAGAUGAUAACAAUGCUGCUUUAAUUUUGGUCCAUAUUUUCUGUAAAAAGUGAGUUAAAUUCACCCCUUCUCACUCUAACACACCAAUUUACAUCUGUUGACAUCUGUAGUGGAAAUGCUAAGUCAUGGCUUAAAACAGGGAUUGAACACCUGGUGGGAAGGCAGGGCCAACCCAGGUGAGCUCAGGUGCAUGCAAUGCAUCUGAGUGACUGGAAGGUUUGGAGCCAGGAUCCACCCCUUCCCAGACCUUAUUUAAAGAUUGGCAGCGGAGGUAAGGGUUUCUUUUGAUAGAGAUCCCUGCCUAUGUGAAACCUUCUAAACUGAAAUGCAAAAAGUCAGAUCCAGAAGGUGAAGUGCCACAUAGUCCAAAUGCCACACUUGACUUCAUCAGGAUUUGAUUGUGAUUAGACCAGAUUGACUCUCUAAGGGAAACUGUGGGAACUAAAUUUGUGGAAAGACUUUGCUAUAGCAAGAAAAAUGCUCGUGUUUCAAGGAUAGAUGAAGUCUACUGAUUCCUUUAGAAGUUGCAUCACUGCUUCUUAAAGAAGAAAGAUAAACUGCCUAUUUAUGCAACAACUCUGUUUCUGGAACUGUUUUUAGGGUGCAAGCAGUGGUGCUCAUAACAGGCUGAAGUUUGGUGUGAGAGACACCAAAGAACAAUUUCUGUGCUCCUACUGCCAGUUAAGCAAUAAUGGAGCAGGCAAAAACAAGUGAACAGGCUAGCUCCUGUGGGCAGCCUUGAGACCUGUUGGAUGCUCACAGCCCACUGUGUUCAUGCAGAUGGGGCCAAACUGCUCUUAGACAGUGACACAGUAUUUCCUCUAUGCGUGUGCAAUUUUUUUUAUUAUAAAACCUGGAAAAAACACUACUGCUAUCACCUCUCCUGCCCAGUGUGGGCAGAUUACUUGUACAGCAUUUAACCUCUGAAAUUCAAGUUCUCACCCAUGAGAAAUCAGUUGGCUCACAAUGCCUGGGAUAACAUAAUCCUUGUGUUGCAGAGUUGAACAGAUAAUUUUUCAGACAGCUAUGGAGAAGGGUAAUCAACAAUAACCUAUUCAUCAUGCAAUUCAAUUCCAAUCGGAGGUCAAUAGAAGGCUGAAGUCAGAAGUAUUCUGUAUUUGUCUAGUAUAAUUUAAAAUAUCUUGAAGAAUAUGGCUUUUCCUCACUGUCACUUCAUUUUCCUUGAAAUGAUUUUCCUCCUUUCCUCUUGAUUGUAUUAAGAGAAGAAUAAUGGCACAAUGUCAAUCAAGACAGGGGACAAAAUGAUGGUCUUGUGAAACAGUUUGAAUUUUAUAAGGGACAGAGAUGUAAUGGUGUGUGAAUAUAAAGAAAGCCAAUUAACAUAUGUUCCAAUGCUGUUCAUUUUGUUCCCAUGUAAAAGCAAAAGUACAGAUUUGCAUAUUGACUUGUGGAAGGCCUAAAAAUAGUUUUGAGAAUAAGUCAAAUUGUCAUUUUUGUGCUUGGUUUCUUUUCGAGGUCCUACUGGGCCAAAUUUUGUCCUAUUUUUACAGCUGUAGUUUUCUAAAGGACCUUCCUUAUAAACAGCAAUUGUUUUGUACUUUCACCAGCAGCCUGGCUCACUGAUUUUGACGGCAGUUUGUCUGAAUAAGAACCUUGGGAUUUGUCUCAACAUACUUAAUUGGACUUAAAGUGUGAGCUCUAGGAAUAAGAGACUGUUGUUAGCAUGAACUUAAAUAAUGCUAAUACAGGGUGCAAUUAAAUGACUACAAAGAAUGGGUACAUGAGUUGCCUUGCCUGCCUGCCUCUUAGGUGGCCAGACUACAUUAAGAAGCUUUAAUUUUGUGGCUUCUUUGAUACUUUGAGCAAGUCCUGCCCUCAGACAUGUACACACAACUACCAUUGAAUUAAUACAUCUCCUGUUUAUCUCUCACUACUACAUCUAACCCUUUCUCCAGUCGUAGACUCCUCUGACAGCUCAGUGAGUGUAACAUGAUUCAUCCUUCCCUCCUCUUUCUCUUCCCUUGACUAGACACUAACAAACAACAGAAUUUGAGACAAGAGGCCCCUUAUAAUGAAAGAUUCAAUCACAUCUUACCAAAAACAAAGGAGGGCACUGGCUAGUGCAUGAAGCUGACUCCACUCUUCUAAUUGCUGCACAUAAAUAAAAGGGCAGAAUGGCACAUAUUCUCCUCUAGUAUAAGCAGGAGCAGUCUGUCAGGUCUCCACACUGGCGCACUUGUUUAGGGUUGAAUUUGGCCUAAGCAAUAAAAUUAUGUAUUUUAUGGGACUUUUAUUGUUCCAUUAAAUUGAUUAUAAUGUAAAGCUAACAGAAUUCCUUCAUGUUGUAUACAUAUUUCUUUAGGGGGCACAUGAUUUGUGUUUGCCUAAUACAUGACUCCUCCACCAAACAGCUGCAACACUCCCACAAAUGUUACAUAAAAACCAACUCAUUCAUUAUGAUCGAUAUUUUCUAUGUCUUGUGCACUGGAGUAUGCUAUAAACUUCCUCGACUCUUUCAGAGAAAGGUCUUGUUCACAAGGGAACAUCACUUCUGAUCCUAGAAAUACACGUUUAAAUUACUUUCAGGAAUGUCAGCAGUCAGAUUAUGUUCUUGAGACAACUUGAGUUGUAUUCUGCCCCAAUUUAGUGUGUGCUGCAAACAACUUGCCAUACAAGAGACAGAACAGAGAGAAAAAGUAUAUAAAAAGAGACAAUCAAACCACAGAGAGUAGUAAAGCUUUUAGGAACAAUGUCAUCCUGAAGUGGGUUUAAAGAUGGUGAACCUGACACUAAUAUCUGUUUUUAAUACAGGAGAGAGAAUGUCAUGAUUGAAAGGAUGGGCAAGGAGAAUACACAAAUGGCCAUAUUGAAUACUUCCUAAAAGAUUUUCUUAUCCUAACAGUGGCCUACACUAUCUCCUUCAGAAAACCCCUUUAUUAUGAGUGUUUGGCAUAGUCUGCGUUCCAGUUAUAUAACUAAAGGCAAUUACAGGUAAUUUGAUAUUAACUGAACAAUAGUGGGAAUUAAAUUUUAAUCUGAAUAAGUAAGAAUUAAGUCAGGACUUCAGAAAAAAAUAUAUAUAAUUUUGGGCAGAAUGAGCAGUUUGAAUUGAAAGUGAGAUGAAGUGGCAAGACAAACCAGUAGUCUGGAUGUACGCACUGGGAUAGCACAAGGAAUUGAAGGAAACUCUAAAAAGUCAUGCUUGACAUACACAAGAGUUUUAUUAAAAGUGAUAAUGAAUAUCAGUGAAGAAAGGAGUUGAAAAUUUUACCCAAUUUUCUAUUUGGGCCACAUUAAGAUGAUGCCAGAAGAACAAACUGCUUUUGUAUUUACAAAUGUAAAUGAACUCACUGACCCAAAGUUAAAAGAGUUGAACAAACAGAAACAGCCCUGAGAGUAAGAAUGUAUUAGCAAAAUAUAUGAAAAUUUAAAAAUAAAAAUUAUCAUAGUUGUUUUAAUAUUGUCUUCUCUCCAGACAGCCCAGAAUAUAUGUAUUUAUUUUUGAAGGCAUAUAAAGUACCAUUUUUUGAGCAUUUUUUUAAUAAACUGAGCGAAUCUGUGUGAUGUAGAACAUAAGCCUGAAUUUUACUGAAUGUGACACACUUUAUUAUUAGGUAUGCAUGAUGCUGUUACUUAAUGGCCGAUGGUGAAGCAGGCAUGUAGAAAUAUCUGAACAAGAUUUCCUGCAUACAAGUUAAUUUCAUCAAAAAGACUGGAAAAACACGGUACAGCAAGCAAGGCAUAUGCUGAAUAAAGAAAAAAGGGCGGGGAAAAGAAAGGAAUUUUCCUGUUGACAAUCAAAGUACCUAAAUAUUUGGGUGAUGAAAAGGCAAGAGAUAUCACUCAAAGCAAAUGUGCAUGCAUUAUCCUAAAAUGCUAACUUAAUUUACACCAGAUAAAGAGCAUGGAUCCAAGUUUGCCUUUUGACCCGUCGAGAAAAUUAUCUUGAUGGAUGGAAACAUUUGGUUUCCAAUCAACAAUUCAGCAUGAAAAUGUGAGGCCUUAGUGUCAUCUAAACUGUUAAAAUGUUAGAUGCACACAUAUCUUAAUAGAUGAUACUGAAGCAACAAAUUCUUGCUCCUUUCCAGUGUUAAGUUAAGGUCAUUCUGUCUAACAAACCAAUUCAUAUAGACUCUCUCAAGAGUCCACUCUGCAGGCAAUGGCAGAUAACAGACAACUGAAUGACUGAAUACUCUAGGUCAUCCAAAAAAUUAGAUCAAAGAGUCCCUGUAGUCUAUUGAAAUGCAAUUGCUUCCAAAUCACAUUGUGGUGUUCCAGGCCUGAAAGAAUGGGUCACUGCAAUUUUAUUGUAGAGAAGCUAUUGCUAAUGAAAGGAACAAUGGAAAGAUUAGUGCUACCAACCAUAUAGAAGAAACACCACUUUCAGUUUAAUUGCAGUGAACAAAGCAAAUAGGAAAGAAGGGCAACCAAGUGACAAAAGUAGUUGGUGCAAAGAGGAUAUAGAAGCUAUUCACAAGGUUCUCCUGGUCAGGGCAGAGCGUCCAGACUUAACAUAUGAUUACUGAAUUUGGAUCACAGUAAAAUGCAACGCGGUUGUCAUUACAAACAGCUGAUGAGACAUUUUUAAGAAAGCAGUCUUGCAAGCUGAAAGACUAAGAAUUGUGUUGAUAAUUUUCCUGCCAGGCACCAGUUGCACAGAAAUUAAUAAAAGGAUAGGGAGAAAGGAACAAUUAUAUGUCGAGAUACUGACUGUGCAGGAGAUUAUUAAAAGUUAUUUUAAAUUGGUAAAUGAAGUAAAACAAUUUAAGGUGACCUAUGUUGAAUCUUGGGACUGAUUAAAGAAGGAGACAGAUUCCAAUUGAUAAUAGCAUAGAUACUGAAAAGGUUCUGCCAUAAUAAAUUUUUUGAAGACACAAUAUUUAUUCUCUUUUGAUCAGUUUCUGGAUCUUUUGUAAGUAAAGCUUACCAGUCAUAACAACCUGUAUGUCGAGACAGUGGUAAAAGAUCCAUUUCAGUCUCAGUUAAGAUCACUACAUUCUGUUCCUCUGUGACCCGAGGCAGACUUGAACCUUCCUUCUCCAGACAAGACAUGACAAGCCCAGCUCCACUUAGCUCUUGAUGCAUGUUAGAAAAUAAAACGUGACCAAACAGGGAGAUCACCCAAACUCCAGCUGUUGUACAGAGGCAGAACGCUUCCCUUACAGGAAAUGGCAAACACCGCAAUAAGUUAAAACAGCUUUUGUCUAAAUAAAAGUGAUAAUACCUAUUAGUUUUGAAAAUUAAGUUUCCACAGAAAUUCCCGACUAAGCACAUUUGAUAAUGACAGUUCAGUACUACAAACAUAAAAACAAAAAAAUUCAUUCCAGCUCCUGGCAUUUGCUCCAAAGCCACAUUUGCAACUGUUCAAAUGAACUGGAAAAUACUAAUUCAUCUAACUGCUGUGACCAAUGCAUUUAAGUAGAGCAUUCAAAAUAUUACCAGACUAUUUCAACCAAUUAUCAGUAUUCAACAGCUCUUCCUAGUGAACCACCCUCUUCUCAAGUCUCUGAUUAUUAUUUCAAAAGGAACACUGGAUGUCUGAAGUGCCCCUCUUUUAGUCUUACCAUGCAGUUUGAUAGCCCUUAUCAUCAAGUACAUUUGCAAAAGAGAUUUCUAGAGGGUGACCCAACAUAUCCUUUGGACCUCUGAACCAUACAGCAUAAAGAUAGCUCCAUAUAACCUAGCACUGUUGAAUGUCACUGUUCUAAUCUGUGUCCAUAUGAAAUUUGUGAAGUGCAAGAUCUUCUGCCUUAAAGCCAUUAAUAACUAUUAAUUCUGUAGCUAGCUAUUCUGAAUUACAUCAGUAAAGACCUUUCUGGAGGAAAACAGCACUAUCAAAUACAUUUUGGAAAAAAAAAAAUCAUUUGUGCAUAGUAAUUUUUCAUGAACAGCCAUUAAUAGAAUGUAUGCAAAGACAGCAUUUAACACGUUCAUAAGAGACCAACUCAUCAAGACUUAUAAACCAAAGUAGGCUGGAAUUGCCACAGGAAGCUAAGGGAAAUUGGUUCAUAACUCCUGCUGUGUUAGGAAAUUCACCCUUCCUUAAAGCAGUUGACAAAACUAGGUAUACAUUUUUUUCUCA